RNAcentral lists this ribosomal RNA (253 nucleotides) under uncultured bacterium. Its description in RNAcentral is "partial 16S ribosomal RNA". It matches the Rfam family "Bacterial small subunit ribosomal RNA", at positions 524 to 776 of the family's 1533-position model. The record is from RNAcentral.
UACGUAGGGUGCGAGCGUUGUCCGGAAUUAUUGGGCGUAAAGAGCUCGUAGGCGGUCUGUCGCGUCUGCUGUGAAAACUCAGGGCUUAACCCUGAGCUUGCAGUGGGUACGGGCAGACUAGAGUGCGGUAGGGGAGACUAGAAUUCCUGGUGUAGCGGUGAAAUGCGCAGAUAUCAGGAGGAACACCGGUGGCGAAGGCGGGUCUCUGGGCCGUAACUGACGCUGAGGAGCGAAAGCAUGGGGAGCGAACAGG